UCCUACGGGAGGCAGCAGUGGGGAAUAUUGGACAAUGGGGGCAACCCUGAUCCAGCAAUGCCGCGUGUGUGAUGAAGGCCUUAGGGUUGUAAAGCACUUUCACUGGUGAAGAUGAUGACGGUAACCAGAGAAGAAGCCCCGGCUAACUUCGUGCCAGCAGCCGCGGUAAU
This 170-nucleotide ribosomal RNA is filed under the name uncultured Alphaproteobacteria bacterium. Its description in RNAcentral is "partial 16S ribosomal RNA". It matches the Rfam family "Bacterial small subunit ribosomal RNA", at positions 337 to 524 of the family's 1533-position model. Lineage: Bacteria; Pseudomonadati; Pseudomonadota; Alphaproteobacteria. The record is from RNAcentral.